UGGGGAAUAUUGGACAAUGGGCGCAAGCCUGAUCCAGCCAUGCCGCGUGAGUGAUGAAGGCCCUAGGGUUGUAAAGCUCUUUCACCGGUGAAGAUAAUGACGGUAACCGGAGAAGAAGCCCCGGCUAACUUCGUGCCAGCAGCCGCGGUAAUACGAAGGGGGCUAGCGUUGUUCGGAUUUACUGGGCGUAAAGCGCACGUAGGCGGACUUUUAAGUCAGGGGUGAAAUCCCGGGGCUCAACCCCGGAACUGCCUUUGAUACUGGAAGUCUUGAGUAUGGUAGAGGUGAGUGGAAUUCCGAGUGUAGAGGUGAAAGUCGUAGAUAUUAGGAGGAACACCAGUGGCGAAGGCGGCUAACUGGACCAUUACUGACGCUGAGGUGCGAAAGCGUGGGGAGCAAACAGG
RNAcentral lists this ribosomal RNA (404 nucleotides) under Actinomycetes bacterium. RNAcentral's name for it is "Actinobacteria bacterium partial 16S ribosomal RNA". It matches the Rfam family "Bacterial small subunit ribosomal RNA", at positions 355 to 776 of the family's 1533-position model. The record is from RNAcentral. Lineage: Bacteria; Bacillati; Actinomycetota; Actinomycetes.